RNAcentral lists this ribosomal RNA (459 nucleotides) under uncultured bacterium. Its description in RNAcentral is "partial 16S ribosomal RNA". It matches the Rfam family "Bacterial small subunit ribosomal RNA", at positions 338 to 795 of the family's 1533-position model. The record is from RNAcentral.
CCUACGGGAGGCAGCAGUGAGGAAUAUUGGUCAAUGGCCGGAAGGCUGAACCAGCCAAGCCGCGUGAAGGACGAAGGUGCCAAGCAUUGUAAACUUCUUUUGUCAAGGGACAAAAUCAGGCUCGAGGGUCUGACCGAGGGUACUUGAAGAAAAAGCAUCGGCUAACUCAGUGCCAGAAGCAGCGGUAAUACGGAGGAUGCGAGCGUUAUCCGGAUUGAUUGGGUUUAAAGGGUUCGUAGGCGGUCUGUUAAGUCAGCGGUAAAAGCCCGGGGCUCAACCCCGGCGAGCCUUUGAAACUGGCGGUCUGGAGUUGGAGAGAGGUACGCGGAAUGCGCGGUGUAGCGGUGAAAUGCUUAGAUAUCGCGCAGAACCCCGAUUGCGAAGGCAGCGUACCGGCUCCACACUGACGCUGAUGCACGAAAGCGUGGGUAUCAAACAGGAUUAGAUACCCGUGUAGUC